UAGGGAAUCUUCCGCAAUGGACGAAAGUCUGACGGAGCAACGCCGCGUGAGUGAAGAAGGAUUUCGGUUCGUAAAACUCUGUUGUUAGGGAAGAAAGAAUGUAUAGUAACUAUAUACAAAAGAGACGGUACCUAACCAGAAAGCCACGGCUAACUACGUGCCAGCAGCCGCGGUAAUACGUAGGUGGCAAGCGUUGUCCGGAAUUAUUGGGCGUAAAGCGCGCGCAGGUGGUUUAGAAAGUCUGAUGUGAAAGCCCACGGCUCAACCGUGGAGGGUCAUUGGAAACUAAUAAACUUGAGUGCAGGAGAGAAAAGUGGAAUUCCUAGUGUAGCGGUGAAAUGCGUAGAGAUUAGGAGGAACACCGGUGGCGAAAGCGGCUUUUUGGCCUGCAACUGACACUGAGGCGCGAAAGCGUGGGGAGCAAACAGG
RNAcentral lists this ribosomal RNA (429 nucleotides) under Verrucomicrobiota bacterium. Its description in RNAcentral is "Verrucomicrobia bacterium partial 16S ribosomal RNA". It matches the Rfam family "Bacterial small subunit ribosomal RNA", at positions 355 to 776 of the family's 1533-position model. The record is from RNAcentral. Lineage: Bacteria; Pseudomonadati; Verrucomicrobiota.